GGCUCCAUGGGUUAGUUGGUUAAAGCGCCUGUCUAGUAAACAGGAGAUCCUGGGUUCGAAUCCCAGUAGGGCCU
RNAcentral lists this transfer RNA (74 nucleotides) under Lingula anatina. Its description in RNAcentral is "tRNA-Thr". It matches the Rfam family "tRNA". From Rfam's summary of the family: Transfer RNA (tRNA) molecules are approximately 80 nucleotides in length. Lineage: Eukaryota; Metazoa; Brachiopoda; Lingulata; Lingulida; Lingulidae. The record is from Rfam by way of RNAcentral.